RNAcentral lists this ribosomal RNA (332 nucleotides) under uncultured eukaryote. RNAcentral describes it as "partial 18S ribosomal RNA". It matches the Rfam family "Eukaryotic small subunit ribosomal RNA", at positions 1470 to 1796 of the family's 1831-position model. The record is from RNAcentral.
CCCUUAGAUGUUCUGGGCUGCACACGUGCUUCACUGGCAGGUUCAGCGAGCUUCAUGCCCUGAUCUGAAAGGAAUGGGAAAUCUUUUCAAAACCUGCCGUGCUUGGGAUAGAUGUUUGCAAUUAUUCAUCUUCAACGAGGAUUGCCUUGUAAGCGCACGUCAUCAGCGUGCAUUGAAUACGACCCUGUAUUCUGUACACACCGCCCGUCGCUCCUACCGAUUGAAGUUUUCGGUGAGUUGACAGGAGGAUUUUUUUGAAACUGGUUCGCCAGUGGAUUUUAGAUCCAAAUGCCAACGAAUCGAUGGCUUUAGAGGAAGGAGAAGUCGUAACA